CCUACGGGUGGCAGCAGUGAGGAAUAUUGGUCAAUGGACGAGAGUCUGAACCAGCCAAGUAGCGUGAAUGAUGACUGCCCUAUGGUUUGUAAGCUUCUUUUAUAUGGGAAUAAAACAGGGUAUGCAUACCCUCUUGUAUGUACCAUAUGAAUACGGAUCGGCUAACUCCGUGCCAGCAGCCGCGGUAAUACGGAGGAUCCGAGCGUUAUCCGGAUUUAGUGGGUUUAAGGGGUGCGUAGGUGGAUUGUUAAGUCAGUUGUGAAAGUUUGCGGCUCAACCGUAAAAUUGCAGUUGAAACUGGCAGUCUUGAGUACAGGAGAGGUGGGCGGAAUUCGUGGUGUAGCGGUGAAAUGCGUAGAGAUCACGAAGAACUCCGAUGGCGAAGGCAGCUCACUGGACUGCAACUGACACUGAUGCUCGAAAGUGUGGGUAUCAAACAGGAUUAGAUACCCUUGUAGUC
Molecule: ribosomal RNA, 460 nt
Filed under: uncultured bacterium
Lineage: Bacteria
Description: partial 16S ribosomal RNA
Rfam family: Bacterial small subunit ribosomal RNA
Source: RNAcentral